This is a long non-coding RNA of Rhagoletis zephyria (snowberry fruit fly), 455 nucleotides long. RefSeq lists it as uncharacterized. Lineage: Eukaryota; Metazoa; Arthropoda; Insecta; Diptera; Tephritidae. The record is from RefSeq and is a predicted model, not a curated record.
UGUCUAUUUAGGAUAUGUUGAGCCAACAAAGAAGGCGCAUUUGGAAAAUGCCUAUAAGCAGGCUGGAAUUUGGAAAAAAAUGUUAUAAAUCGAGCGGCUCAUUUACGAUGUGCUCCAAAUAUUUGGCGAACUUUUUUCGCCUUUUCAACGUGCUAAGUAACAAGGAAAGGGCAGACAAUCUUCCAGGAAGCUGCCUCCUGUCCCCGAGUCGAAGCAGAAGUUCAGCAAGAAGCAGGUCAGCAAACUGCUACCCUGAUCAAACGUAAACUAAAGCGCUCUGCUGUGAUUGCACUCUGCAAACGUGAAAACUUCGUGCAUGCUGAGAAAUAUCAAACAAGAAAACUCGGUGAUGGACGCCGUGGGAUGAAGUUGCGCUGUGUGGCAAAGAAAUGCGGCCAAUUCUACGGGCCUGAAAAAUCCAAAUUGGCUUUUGUGAUCCGUAUCCGCGGUAUCAA